UACAGAGGGUGCGAGCGUUGUCCGGAAUUACUGGGCGUAAAGGCGCGUAGGCGGCCCGAUAAGUAGGACGUGAAAUUCCGCGGCUCAACCGCGGAACUGCGUUCUAGACUGUCAGGCUUGAGCACGGUAGAGGCAGAUGGAAUUCCCGGUGUAGCGGUGGAAUGCGUAGAGAUCGGGAAGAACACCAGUGGCGAAGGCGGUCUGCUGGGCCGUUGCUGACGCUGAGGCGCGACAGCGUGGGGAGCAAACAGG
This 252-nucleotide ribosomal RNA is filed under the name uncultured bacterium. RNAcentral describes it as "partial 16S ribosomal RNA". It matches the Rfam family "Bacterial small subunit ribosomal RNA", at positions 524 to 776 of the family's 1533-position model. The record is from RNAcentral.